RNAcentral lists this ribosomal RNA (372 nucleotides) under uncultured organism. Its description in RNAcentral is "bacterial SSU rRNA". It matches the Rfam family "Bacterial small subunit ribosomal RNA", at positions 526 to 896 of the family's 1533-position model. The record is from RNAcentral.
CGAGGGGUGCAAGCGUUGCUCGGAAUUAUUGGGCGUAAAGGGUAGGUAGGUGGUCUCAUUUGUCUGGGGUGAAAGCCUUGAGCUUAACUCAAGAAGUGCCCUAGAAACGGUGAGACUGGAGUCCUGGAGAGGGUCGUGGAAUUCCCGGUGUAGCGGUGAAAUGCGUAGAGAUCGGGAGGAACACCAGAGGCGAAAGCGGCGACCUGGACAGGUACUGACACUCAACUACGAAAGCGUGGGGAGCAAACAGGAUUAGAUACCCUGGUAGUCCACGCUGUAAACGAUGGGUACUAGGUUUGGCGGGUCUUGACCCCUGCUGAACCGGCGCUAACGCAAUAAGUACCCCGCCUGGGAAGUACGGUCGCAAGACUA